Long non-coding RNA from Cannabis sativa, 436 nucleotides. RefSeq lists it as uncharacterized. Lineage: Eukaryota; Viridiplantae; Streptophyta; Magnoliopsida; Rosales; Cannabaceae. The record is from RefSeq and is a predicted model, not a curated record. The transcript is spliced from 3 exons.
GAAAUUGGUGGUAUUUUACGGCUUAGCCACAUGUCCUGCAGCUGAAAUGGUGGAGGGGUCUAAGGUUUUUAUUUUGAACAAGCAUUCUGGAGGACUCCUUGAAAGCCCUUUCUACAGCUAGCACUAGAAAGCAGACGGACUGCAAUAAUUAUCCCAAUAUCAAUAGUCUCGAUUCUUCUAUUAUUGAUUUGUAUUGGAGGCUAUAUUUUCUGGAACAGGAAGACCAACUCUCACAAAAGCCAUGAACAUAAAUAUAGAAGGCAAUAUACAAUGUGGAGAUGGAGUUGCUAGAAAUUGACACAACACUUGUACAAGCUAGCUUUAGACUUUUAAUGUUAGGCAAUAUUACUUAUUUUGUAUGUUUAUUAGUAAGGAUUUAUCAUGUUGUAAAUUAUACCUUAAUUUUAUUAUAAUAUAAUUAAAUUGUAUCUUGUAC